This 866-nucleotide ribosomal RNA is filed under the name uncultured bacterium. RNAcentral describes it as "bacterial SSU rRNA". It matches the Rfam family "Bacterial small subunit ribosomal RNA", at positions 28 to 873 of the family's 1533-position model. The record is from RNAcentral.
AAUGAACGUUGGCGGUGUGCUUAACCCAUGCAAGUCGAACGAGAAAGUUCUUCGGAAUGAGUAUAGUGGCGAACGGGUGAGUAACGCGUGAGGAUCUCCCCUUCAGUGAAGGAUACCCUUGAGAAAUUAAGGUUAAUACUGCAUACGUCCAUCAUUAACAUGAUGGAGAAAGAUGGCCUCUUGCUGUCGCUGAAAGAUGAACUUGCGUUCUAUUAGCUAGUUGGUGGGGUAAAGGCUCACCAAGGCGAUGAUGGAUAGCCGGCCUGAGAGGGUGAACGGCCACAUUGGAACUGAGAAACGGUCCAGACUCCUACGGGAGGCAGCUGUGAGGAAUAUUGCACAAUGGGCGAAAGCCUGAUGCAGCGACACCGCGUGAAGGAUGAAGGUCUUAGGAUUGUAAACUUCUGUUAAGUGGGAAAAAAGACUCGCUUCUAAUAAAAGCGAGGGAUGAUGGUACCACUAGAAAAAGCACCGGCUAACUUCGUGCCAGCAGCCGCGGUAAUACAUACGUGGCGAGCGUUACUCGGAAUUACUAGGCGUAAAGCGCAUGUUCGUGGUCAGACAAGUCUAUGGUGAAAUUUCCCGGCUUACCUGCGAGGGGGCCAUGGGAAACUAUCUGGCUUGUAUGUGGCAAGCGGAGGCGGAAUUCCCCGUGUAUCGGCGAAAUGCGUUUAUUUCCGGCAGAACACCCAUGUCGCAGAGGGGUCUAUCGGGCCAUAGUUAAUCUGUUUGUGCCAAUCUUAGGGGGGCGGAUAGGAUUGGAUACCCUUGCGAUUCCUCUUUCCACACGGCUGUCUGCCGUAGUCGGGGGAGGUGAGCCCCUCUUGGUUCCACGCCCACUUACCUAAAGAACCACCGUGGGAGGG